AUGCAGGCCAGAAAAUUCAACAACAACAAUAUUCUUGUACACAAUUAUUUUGCAGAAGUAGAAGAACAGACGUGCAAUCACAAAAAUCAGAAGAAAAAGAUUGGGAUACAAGCUGAAGCAGAAGAGAGGAAACAUUGUCGCGAUCGAAAGUCGAACCGCGACACCGCUAUUAUCGCGACUGCCCCUCCUUGA
Non-coding RNA from Vicia faba (fava bean), 192 nucleotides. NCBI's taxonomy places the organism in Eukaryota, Viridiplantae, Streptophyta, Magnoliopsida, Fabales, Fabaceae. The record is from the annotation of a GenBank genome assembly.